UGAAUACGAGACGCUACGGCGUCGAAGCAGUCGAUGUCAUACUUCCAAGAAAAGCUUGCACUGUCAUAAACAAAGAAUGCCUGUACCAUAACCGACACAGGUGGGUAGGUAGAGUAUACUAAGGGGCGCGAGAUAACUCUCUCUAAGGAACUCGGCAAAAUGACUCCGUAACUUCGGGAGAAGGAGUGCCUUAUUUAUAAGGUUGCAAUAACAAGAUCCAAGCAACUGUUUACCAAAAACACAGGUCUCCGCUAAGUCGUAAGACGAUGUAUGGGGGCUGACGCCUGCCCAGUGCCAGAAGGUUAAAGAAGUUGGUUAGCAUUUGCGAAGCUGAUAACUGAAGCCCUGGUGAACGGCGGCCGUAACGAUAACGGUCCUAAGGUAGCGAAAUUCCUUGUCGGGUAAGUUCCGACCCGCACGAAAGGCGUAAUGAUUUGGAUACUGUCUCAGAGAGGGGCUCGGUGAAAUAGACUUGUCUGUGAAGAUGCGGACUACCUGCACCAGGACAGAAAGACCCUAUGAAGCUUUACUGUAACCUGAAAUUGAAAUUGGACUUUAUUUGCGCAGUAUAGGUGGGAGGCGUUGAGAAUUUUCUUGCGGGAAGAUUGGAGCCAUCAGUGAGAUACCACUCUUGUAAUGUUAGAUUUCUAACUUUGAAUCAUGAUCUGGUCAAAGAACAGUUUCAGGCGGGCAGUUUGACUGGGGCGGUCGCCUCCCAAAUGGUAACGGAGGCGCACAAAGGUUUCCUCUGAACGGGUAGAAAUCGUAUCUAGAGUGUAAAGGCAUAAGGAAGCUUGACUGUGAGACCUACAAGUCGAGCAGGGACGAAAGUCGGUCUUAGUGAUCUGACGGUGCUGAGUGGAAAGGCCGUCACUCAACGGAUAAAAGUUACUCUAGGAUAACAGGCUGAUCUCCCCCAAGAGUUCACAUCGACGGGGAGGUUUGGCACCUCGAUGUCGGCUCAUCGCAUCCUGGGGCGGUAGUACGUCCCAAGGGUUGGGCUGUUCGCCCAUGAAAGCGGUACGCGAGCUGGGUUCAGAACGUCGUGAGACAGUUCGGUCCAUAUCCGGUGUAGGCGUUAGAAUAUUGAGAGGAGCCUUCUUUAGUACGAGAGGACCGAGAAGGACAUACCUCUGGUGUACCAGUUAUCGUGCCAACGGUAAACGCUGGGUAGCUAUGUAUGGAGAGGAUAACCGCUGAAAGCAUCUAAGUGGGAAGCCCACCUCAAGAUAAGUAUUCC
Molecule: ribosomal RNA, 1240 nt
Filed under: metagenome
Description: bacterial LSU rRNA
Rfam family: Bacterial large subunit ribosomal RNA
Source: RNAcentral